This 448-nucleotide ribosomal RNA is filed under the name uncultured bacterium. RNAcentral describes it as "bacterial SSU rRNA". It matches the Rfam family "Bacterial small subunit ribosomal RNA", at positions 25 to 518 of the family's 1533-position model. The record is from RNAcentral.
CAGAACGAACGCUGGCGGCAGGCCUAACACAUGCAAGUCGAGCGCGCCCUUCGGGGUGAGCGGCGGACGGGUUAGUAACGCGUGGGAACGUACCCUUUGGUAGGGAAUAGCCACUGGAAACGGUGAGUAAUACCCUAUGAGCCCUUCGGGGGAAAGAUUUAUCGCCAAAGGAUCGGCCCGCGUUAGAUUAGGUAGUUGGUGGGGUAAUGGCCUACCAAGCCUACGAUCUAUAGCUGGUUUUAGAGGAUGAUCAGCAACACUGGGACUGAGACACGGCCCAGACUCCUACGGGAGGCAGCAGUGGGGAAUCUUGGACAAUGGGGGCAACCCUGAAUCCAGCCAUGCCGCGUGAGUGAAGAAGGCCUUAGGGUCGUAAAGCUCUUUCGCCUGUGAAGAUAAUGACGGUAGCAGGUAAAGAAACCCCGGCUAACUCCGUGCCAGCCGCAGC